AGUCGUAACAAGGUCUCCGUUGGUGAACCAGCGGAGGGAUCAUUAUAGAGUUUUCUAAACUCCCAACCCAUGUGAACUUACCAUUGUUGCCUCGGCAGAAGCUGCUCGGCGCGCCUUACCUUGGAACGGCCUACCCUGUAGCGCCUUACCCUGGAACGGCUUACCCUGCAACGGCUGCCGGUGGACUACCAAACUCUUGUUAUUUUAUGGUUAUCUGAGCGUCUUAUUUUAAUAAGUCAAAACUUUCAACAACGGAUCUCUUGGUUCUGGCAUCGAUGAAGAACGCAGCGAAAUGCGAUAAGUAAUGUGAAUUGCAGAAUUCAGUGAAUCAUCGAAUCUUUGAACGCACAUUGCGCCCAUUAGUAUUCUAGUGGGCAUGCCUGUUCGAGCGUCAUUUCAACCCUUAAGCCUAGCUUAGUGUUGGGAGCCUACUGCUUUUGCUAGCUGUAGCUCCUGAAAUACAACGGCGGAUCUGCGAUAUCCUCUGAGCGUAGUAAUUUUUAUCUCGCUUUUGACUGGAGUUGCAGCGUCUUUAGCCGCUAAACCCCCCAAUUUUUAAUGGUUGACCUCGGAUCAGGUAGGAAUACCCGCUGAACUUAAGCAUAUCAAUAAGCGGAGGAA
This 621-nucleotide ribosomal RNA is filed under the name Pestalotiopsis sp. MAFF 241683. Its description in RNAcentral is "eukaryotic LSU rRNA". The stretch from base 241 to 394 matches the Rfam family "5.8S ribosomal RNA". The record is from RNAcentral. Lineage: Eukaryota; Fungi; Ascomycota; Sordariomycetes; Amphisphaeriales; Sporocadaceae.